Molecule: long non-coding RNA, 1312 nt
Filed under: Malus domestica (apple)
Lineage: Eukaryota; Viridiplantae; Streptophyta; Magnoliopsida; Rosales; Rosaceae
Description: long non-coding RNA (MDOM_LNC005591)
Source: RNAcentral
AUGGCACAGUUGGCAAUUCAGUUGGCAUGGCAAUUUGGCAAAAAAAUCCACCCCUACUUCUCAUGGCAAUAGUCUUCAAAUGUAAAUGUAUAAACAACACAAUAUUUAAGUGGUUCGCCAAAUUGCUACAUCUAAUGGGGUUUGCAUUCCUUGUAUUUUACCAUAUAUGAGGGACUUACAAAUACAAUGAAAGAUAGCUUAAAACCUUAACAGUAUGUAAAAGAAAGAUAAGAGGUAAUAUGAAAGGGAGAAUGGCAUUUUGUUGGAGUUGUUUCUUUUUCUUCUUCUUCCUCUUUCUUCUCUCCAUGUCCCUCUUGUUGGUUCUUACACCUUCCUUUAUAGAGAUUGCAUGACAUCUUCCUCUCCAAAAAAUCUCUCAAGUGUGCCAAUAGAAAGAACCCAUGUGUUGUGCCAAUCAUUAGACAUAAAAUGUGUUCCAAUAACAAGGCAACAAGUGUUGUUCUAAUCAUUAACAAUGAUAUGUGUUACAAUGGAAAAACAACAAGUGUUAAGUUAAUCAUGAACUAAUGAAUAUCAUGCAAGAUGUUCCUUGCACCAAAGACCACGUGAAAUAUUCUACAACCACAAUAAGUUGCCAUCUUACUCUUUUUAGAGUGGUGAAUAAUCAUCCUAAUGAAUAUCAACUUGCCACCUCAUCUUAUGUAUGACACACCCCGAUCCUAGAAUCAAGGCAUGCUGGCCGUCACGUGAGCGUGACGUGAUAGGAGCAUUUUUAUGCAACUUAAUUAGCUUGUUCUCGUGCGUUUACGUUGUGUUUCCAUAGUUAUUUUAGUGUUUAAAGCAAUUUUCAUUUGUUUGUAGGCCUUAAUAACAACCUUGGCAAGAAAAGUGCAUUUUGGUGCAUGUUGGAUCAAUAUUGGGCUCAAAUGGAUUGCAUGCAUGAGGAUGGACGUUUUGGGCAUAUGUGUGUGCAAGUGUGUGUGUGUAAUUGCAAGGAUAAACACAUGCAAAGAAGCCCACAUGCAAACUCAAGGCAAGAGAGGGAGAAAACACAUGCAAAGAAGCCCACAUGCAAAGUGAAGACAAAACUCAUGGCAAAGGUGAAGGAAUUGUGUGUGUUUUGUGAUUGAAAUGAUGAAGCAUGUGUGUGUAAAUGUAAAGGGGAAAACAUGGCAGCAAACACAUGGCAAAGAAAGUAAACACAUGGCAAAGAGAAGAACAUUGAAGCAUACACAUACAAAACUCACGGCAAAGUGGAAGGAAUUGUGUGUGUUUUGUGGUUGAAAUGAUGAAGCAUGUGUGUGUAAAUGUAAAGGGAAAAACAUGGCAGAAAAUGUGUGUGUUUUGUGGU